GUCGAACGAUGAACCUGGAGCUUGCUCUAGGGGAUUAGUGGCGAACGGGUGAGUAACACGUGAGUAACCUGCCCUUGACUCUGGGAUAACCUCCGGAAACGGAAGCUAAUACCGGAUAUGACGCACGGAGGCAUCUCCUGUGCGUGGAAAGAAUUUCGGUCAAGGAUGGACUCGCGGCCUAUCAGGUAGUUGGUGAGGUAACGGCCCACCAAGCCUACGACGGGUAGCCGGCCUGAGAGGGUGACCGGCCACACUGGGACUGAGACACGGCCCAGACUCCUACGGGAGGCAGCAGUGGGGAAUAUUGCACAAUGGGCGCAAGCCUGAUGCAGCAACGCCGCGUGAGGGACGACGGCCUUCGGGUUGUAAACCUCUUUUAGUAGGGAAGAAGCGAAAGUGACGGUACCUGCAGAAAAAGCACCGGCUAACUACGUGCCAGCAGCCGCGGUAAUACGUAGGGUGCGAGCGUUGUCCGGAAUUAUUGGGCGUAAAGAGCUCGUAGGCGGUCUGUCGCGUCUGCUGUGAAAUCCCGAGGCUCAACCUCGGGCCUGCAGUGGGUACGGGCAGACUAGAGUGCGGUAGGGGAGAAUGGAAUUCCUGGUGUAGCGGUGGAAUGCGCAGAUAUCAGGAGGAACACCGAUGGCGAAGGCAGUUCUCUGGGCCGUAACUGACGCUGAGGAGCGAAAGCGUGGGGAGCGAACAGGAUUAGAUACCCUGGUAGUCCACGCCGUAAACGUUGGGCGCUAGAUGUGGGGACCAUUCCACGGUUUCCGUGUCGCAGCUAACGC
Molecule: ribosomal RNA, 788 nt
Filed under: Cryocola sp.
Lineage: Bacteria; Bacillati; Actinomycetota; Actinomycetes; Micrococcales; Microbacteriaceae
Description: bacterial SSU rRNA
Rfam family: Bacterial small subunit ribosomal RNA
Source: RNAcentral